Molecule: ribosomal RNA, 253 nt
Filed under: uncultured bacterium
Lineage: Bacteria
Description: partial 16S ribosomal RNA
Rfam family: Bacterial small subunit ribosomal RNA
Source: RNAcentral
UACAGAGGGUGCGAGCGUUAAUCGGAAUUACUGGGCGUAAAGCGCACGUAGGCGGCUUGGUAUGUCGGGUGUGAAAUCCCCAGGCUCAACCUGGGAACUGCGUCUGAUACUGGAUGGCUUGAAUCCGGGAGAGGGAUGCAGAAUUCCAGGUGUAGCGGUGAAAUGCGUAGAUAUCGUAAGGAAGACCAGUGGCGAAGGCGAGUCUCUGGACAGUUACUGACGCUGAGGUACGAAGGCCAGGGGAGCAAACGGG